GAUGAACGCUGGCGGCGUGCCUAAUACAUGCAAGUCGAGCGAACAGACGAGGAGCUUGCUCCUCUGACGUUAGCGGCGGACGGGUGAGUAACACGUGGAUAACCUACCUAUAAGACUGGGAUAACUUCGGGAAACCGGAGCUAAUACCGGAUAAUAUAUUGAACCGCAUGGUUCAAUAGUGAAAGACGGUUUUGCUGUCACUUAUAGAUGGAUCCGCGCCGCAUUAGCUAGUUGGUAAGGUAACGGCUUACCAAGGCGACGAUGCGUAGCCGACCUGAGAGGGUGAUCGGCCACACUGGAACUGAGACACGGUCCAGACUCCUACGGGAGGCAGCAGUAGGGAAUCUUCCGCAAAGGGCGAAAGCCUGACGGAGCAACGCCGCGUGAGUGAUGAAGGUCUUCGGAUCGUAAAACUCUGUUAUUAGGGAAGAACAAAUGUGUAAGUAACUAUGCACGUCUUGACGGUACCUGAUCAGAAAGCCACGGCUAACUACGUG
RNAcentral lists this ribosomal RNA (497 nucleotides) under uncultured bacterium. RNAcentral's name for it is "partial 16S ribosomal RNA". It matches the Rfam family "Bacterial small subunit ribosomal RNA", at positions 28 to 507 of the family's 1533-position model. The record is from RNAcentral.